GCAUAUCAAUAAGCGGAGGAAAAGAAACCAACAGGGAUUGCCUCAGUAACGGCGAGUGAAGCGGCAACAGCUCAAAUUUGAAAUCUGGCCCUAGGCCCGAGUUUGUAAUUUGCAGAGGAUGUUUCUGGCGAGGUGCCUUCCGAGUUCCCUGGAACGGGACGCCAUAGAGGGUGAGAGCCCCGUACGGUUGGUCGCUAAGCCUCUGUGAAACUCCUUCGACGAGUCGAGUAGUUUGGGAAUGCUGCUCUAAAUGGGAGGUAUACGUCUUCUAAAGCUAAAUACCGGCCAGAGACCGAUAGCGCACAAGUAGAGUGAUCGAAAGAUGAAAAGCACUUUGAAAAGAGGGUUAAAUAGUACGUGAAAUUGUUGAAAGGGAAGCGCUUAUGACCAGACUUGGACCGGUUGAUCAUCCAUCGUUCUCGGUGGUGCACUCUGCCGGUUCAGGCCAGCAUCAGUUCGUCCCGGGGGAUAAAGGCUUUGGGAAUGUGGCUCUUCGGAGUGUUAUAGCCCACUGCGUAAUACCCUGGGAUGGACUGAGGUUCGCGCUCCGCAAGGAUGCUGGCGUAAUGGUCAUCAGUGACCCGUCUUGAAACACGGACCAAGGAGUCGUCUUCGUAUGCGAGUGUUCGGGUGUCAAACCCCUACGCGUAAUGAAAGUGAACGUAGGAGAGAGCUUCGGCGCAUCUCCGACCGAUCCUGAUGUUCUCGGAUGGAUUUGAGUAAGAGCAUACGGGGCCGGACCCGAAAGAAGGUGAACUAUGCUUGUAUAGGGUGAAGCCAGAGGAAACUCUGGUGGAGGCUCGCAGCGGUUCUGACGUGCAAAUCGAUCGUCAAAUAUGAGCAUGGGGGCGAAAGACUAAUCGAACCUUCUAGUAGCUGGUUUCCGCCGA
This 890-nucleotide ribosomal RNA is filed under the name Verruciconidia persicina. Its description in RNAcentral is "LSU rRNA". It matches the Rfam family "Eukaryotic large subunit ribosomal RNA", at positions 38 to 964 of the family's 3401-position model. Lineage: Eukaryota; Fungi; Ascomycota; Sordariomycetes; Hypocreales; Bionectriaceae. The record is from RNAcentral.